CCAAUACAUUUACCCUAUCAAGAUUCAGUAAUCCACAUCCCCUUUCUUCACGUACAGGCAGAAAUUACAUUGCAACAGAAAAAGAACCAAACAUGAGAACUCAGAGAAACAGCUGUGGAACGGAAACGUGGAAGGAAACUACUGCCAGUUAGUACCACAUUUCUCAAAGAAUACUAGAAGAAUCUACUACUCUACUCUACUCUCUCAGGACAGAUCAGAGAACAGCAGCUUUCAAGAACAAGGUCUGCGCCUGAUGUUCCCUUCUCUCACCAAAACCUCCCACCAGCAAUCCCUCCACUUCAUGGGAGUUUGCACUACUCCUGCUAGCUCUGCUGAAAGCACCCGGGAUGAACAGACUGUGGCCACAUUUUGUUAAGAAAGUCAUUUCUUUAUAUCUCUUAAGUGGUCAUAACUUGUGAGUUCCCAUGGACAGACAAGAGGCGGCAGAGAACCUGGAGGCAGCAGCUGCUGAACAGGAAAGACAAUGCUCAUGCAGGUUUGAGAAAAUGACCUCCCAGCCUAUCACCCCAUGCUCACACAUCAAGGGUUUGAUUUCACUCCAAUACGGAGGAGACCAAGACCACACAGCUCGGUAGUUGAAACUUCCGUGCUCCCCAAUCCAUUCCUGUCACCAUCACUAACCACUGUGGCGGCAGCUCAGACCUUCUUAGAUACUCAUCCAUCCAGCUGGUUAAAUGCUUUGGUUGCUCACUCCCAUUUACAUAUGUCCCUGCAAUAAAAGCCCAAAAACACACACACACAAAGCCUUGUAUAUCGAUAUCUGCAGGAGUAACCUAAGAGUCUUCAGUCUUGUUUUGGGUUCAUCUUCUCAUCCUCUCCUCAUCAUCAUACUAGAGAAAGUCAAGAAAAUCUGGUAUUUCAAGUACUAGGAACUCUUUGAAAAAGAAACUCCUCAACUCCCAUCACUAUUCUCCAGAAAGAAGAGCACAGUACUUGCAAGCAUCUGGGGAAGAAAGGAAAUGAAUGGAUAAACAC
RNAcentral lists this long non-coding RNA (996 nucleotides) under Gallus gallus (chicken). Its description in RNAcentral is "long non-coding RNA NONGGAT001572". Lineage: Eukaryota; Metazoa; Chordata; Aves; Galliformes; Phasianidae. The record is from RNAcentral.